This 404-nucleotide ribosomal RNA is filed under the name uncultured bacterium. Its description in RNAcentral is "partial 16S ribosomal RNA". It matches the Rfam family "Bacterial small subunit ribosomal RNA", at positions 28 to 526 of the family's 1533-position model. The record is from RNAcentral.
GACGAACGCUGGCGGCGUGCCUAAUACAUGCAAGUCGAACGCAGUUGGGACGGGUUAGUAACACGUGGGUAUCCUCCCCAUCAGAGGGGAUACCACUUGGAAACAGGUGCUAAACCGAUACUGAUGGAUGGACCCGCGGUUCAUUAGCUAGUUGGUCAUGUAACGGCUCACCAAGGCCACGAUGCACAGCCGACCGUAGAGGGUGGUCUGCCACACUGUGACGGAGACACGGCCCAGACUCCUACGGUAGGCAGCAGUGGGGAAUCGGCGGCAAAGGAGGAAUGUCUGGCAGAGCAACGCCGCGGGAGGGAAUAAGGUUUUCGGAUCGUAAAACUCUUUUGUUAGAGAAGCGGUAUCUAACCAGUAAGCCACGGCUAACUACGUGCUAGCAGCCGCGGUAAUAC